CCUACGGGAGGCAGCAGUGAGGAAUAUUGGUCAAUGGACGCAAGUCUGAACCAGCCAUGCCGCGUGCAGGAAGACUGCUCUAUGAGUUGUAAACUUCUUUUGUACGAGGGUAAACGCAGACACGCGUGUCUUUCUGUAAGUAUCUUAUGAAUAAGGAUCGGCUAACUCCGUGCCAGCAGCCGCGGUAAUACGGAGGAUUCGAGCGUUAUCCGGAUUUAUUGGGUUUAAAGGGUGCGUAGGCGGUCGGUUAAGUUAGUGGUGAAAUCUCGAGGCUCAACUGCGAAAUUGCAGUUGAUACUGUUCGGCUAGAGAGUAGUUGCGGUAGGCGGAAUGUAUGGUGUAGCGGUGAAAUGCUUAGAGAUCAUACAGAACACCGAUUGCGAAGGCAGCUUACCAAGCUGCUUCUGACAUUGAGGCACGAAAGCGUGGGGAGCAAACAGGAUUAGAUACCCGGGUAGUC
This 460-nucleotide ribosomal RNA is filed under the name uncultured bacterium. Its description in RNAcentral is "partial 16S ribosomal RNA". It matches the Rfam family "Bacterial small subunit ribosomal RNA", at positions 338 to 795 of the family's 1533-position model. The record is from RNAcentral.